UACGUAGGGGGCAAGCGUUGUCCGGAUUUAUUGGGCGUAAAGAGCGUGUAGGCGGUCUGGUAGGUCCGUUGUGUAAACUCGAGGCUCAACCUCGAGACGCCGAUGGAAACCCUCAGACUAGAGUCCGGAAGAGGAGAGUGGAAUUCCUGGUGUAGCGGUGAAAUGCGCAGAUAUCAGGAAGAACACCCGUGGCUAAGGCGGCUCUCUAGUACGGUACUGACGCUGAGACGCGAAAGCGUGGGGAGCGAACAGG
Molecule: ribosomal RNA, 253 nt
Filed under: uncultured bacterium
Lineage: Bacteria
Description: partial 16S ribosomal RNA
Rfam family: Bacterial small subunit ribosomal RNA
Source: RNAcentral